AUGCCGGGGCUCACGGCGCCGUCGGACUACGCGGAGGAGCCGCCGCGCCACCCGGCCCUCAGGAUCAACUCCAAGGAGCCAUUUAAUGCUGAGCCUCAUCGAUCUGCGUUAGUUUCAUCUUAUAUCACCCCAGUGGAUUUCUUCUACAAGAGGAAUCAUGGACCAAUUCCCAAAGUUGAUGAUAUCUCAAGAUACAGUGUUUCCAUCAGUGGCCUCGUGAAUAAGCAUAUCCAGCUGUCCAUGGAUGACAUUAGGAUGCUUCCGAAGUACAAUGUCACUGCAACAUUACAGUGUGCAGGCAAUAAGAGAACUGCAAUGAGUAAGGUGCGGAAAGUGAGAGGUGUUGGAUGGGACGUAUCUGCUCUUGGAAAUGCAACUUGGGGUGGAGCAAAACUAUCUGAUGUCCUUGAACUAGUUGGAAUACAUAAACUCAGUUCAGUCACAUCUUUAGGAGGCAAACAUGUUGAGUUUGUCAGUGUUGACAGGUGUAAAGAGGAGAAAGGUGGCCCCUAUAAGGCAUCAAUUCCACUAAAGCAGGCAACAGAUCCUGAUGCUGAUGUGUUACUCGCAUAUGAAAUGAACGGAGAGACCAUCAAUCGUGACCAUGGAUAUCCACUCCGUGUGGUCGUACCUGGUGUUAUAGGUGCACGCUCCGUAAAAUGGCUUGACAGCAUCAACAUAAUCAAGGAAGAAUGCCAGGGUUUUUUUAUGCAAAAAGAUUACAAGAUGUUCCCACCUACCGUAGAUUGGGACAAUAUUAAUUGGUCAACUAGAAGACCACAAAUGGAUUUUCCUGUGCAGUCAAGUCUAUUUUAUCUUAAUUUCUUUUUGGAUUUGACCAAGCAGUCUGCUAUUUGCACCCUGGAAGAUGUGGAUGUUAUCAAGGAAGGAAAGGCUAGAAUUGCUGGAUAUGCAGUCUCAGGUGGCGGCCGCGGCAUUGAGAGGGUAGAUAUAUCUGUUGAUGGGGGUAAAACAUGGGUUGAAGCUCAUAGAUAUCAGAAAAGCAAUGUGCCAUAUGUCUCUGAUGGAGCUCAAAGCGACAAGUGGGCAUGGGUUCUAUUUGAGGCCACAUUGGACAUACCACCAAAUGCCGAGAUAGUAGCUAAGGCGGUGGAUUCGGCCGCAAACAUUCAACCCGAAAAAGUGGAGGACAUAUGGAAUCUGAGAGGAAUCCUCAACACAUCUUGGCAUCGGAUCAAAAUACAGAAUACUUCGUGCGUAUCUAGAUCAAAAAUGUGA
This 1239-nucleotide ribosomal RNA is filed under the name Triticum aestivum (bread wheat). Its description in RNAcentral is "partial small subunit ribosomal RNA". The record is from RNAcentral. Lineage: Eukaryota; Viridiplantae; Streptophyta; Magnoliopsida; Poales; Poaceae.